UACGUAGGGUGCAAGCGUUAAUCGGAAUUACUGGGCGUAAAGCGUGCGCAGGCGGUUGUGCAAGACCGAUGUGAAAUCCCCCGGGCUUAACCUGGGAAUGGCAUUGGUGACUGCACGGCUAGAGUGUGUCAGAGGGGGGGUAGAAUUCCACGUGUAGCAGUGAAAUGCGUAGAGAUGUGGAGGAAUACCGAUGGCGAAGGCAGCCCC
Molecule: ribosomal RNA, 207 nt
Filed under: uncultured bacterium
Lineage: Bacteria
Description: partial 16S ribosomal RNA
Rfam family: Bacterial small subunit ribosomal RNA
Source: RNAcentral